GACGAACGCUGGCGGCGUGCUUAACACAUGCAAGUCGAACGGAAAGGCCCUGCUUUUGUGGGGUGCUCGAGUGGCGAACGGGUGAGUAACACGUGAGUAACCUGCCCUUGACUUUGGGAUAACUUCAGGAAACUGGGGCUAAUACCGGAUAGGAGCUCCUGCUGCAUGGUGGGGGUUGGAAAGUUUCGGCGGUUGGGGAUGGACUCGCGGCUUAUCAGCUUGUUGGUGGGGUAGUGGCUUACCAAGGCUUUGACGGGUAGCCGGCCUGAGAGGGUGACCGGCCACAUUGGGACUGAGAUACGGCCCAGACUCCUACGGGAGGCAGCAGUGGGGAAUAUUGCACAAUGGGCGGAAGCCUGAUGCAGCAACGCCGCGUGCGGGAUGACGGCCUUCGGGUUGUAAACCGCUUUCGCCCGUGACGAAGCGUGAGUGACGGUAAUGGGUAAAGAAGCACCGGCUAACUACGUGCCAGCAGCCGCGGUGAUACGUAGGGUGCGAGCGUUGUCCGGAUUUAUUGGGCGUAAAGGGCUCGUAGGUGGUUGAUCGCGUCGGAAGUGUAAUCUUGGGGCUUAACCCUGAGCGUGCUUUCGAUACGGGUUGACUUGAGGAAGGUAGGGGAGAAUGGAAUUCCUGGUGGAGCGGUGGAAUGCGCAGAUAUCAGGAGGAACACCAGUGGCGAAGGCGGUUCUCUGGGCCUUUCCUGACGCUGAGGAGCGAAAGCGUGGGGAGCGAACAGGCUUAGAUACCCUGGUAGUCCACGCUGUAAACGGUGGGUACUAGGUGUGGGGUCCAUUCCACGGGUUCCGUGCCGUAGCUAACGCUUUAGGUACCCCGCCUGGGGAGUACGGCCGCAAGGCUAAAACUCAAAGGAAUUGACGGGGCCCCGCACAAGCGGCGGAGCAUGCGGAUUAAUUCGAUGCAACGCGUAGAACCUUACCUGGGUUUGACAUGGAUCGGGAGUGCUCAGAGAUGGGUGUGCCUCUUUUGGGGUCGGUUCACAGGUGGUGCAUGGCUGUCGUCAGCUCGUGUCGUGAGAUGUUGGGUUAAGUCCCGCAACGAGCGCAACCCUUGUUCACUGUUGCCAGCACGUUAUGGUGGGGACUCAGUGGAGACCGCCGGGGUCAACUCGGAGGAAGGUGGGGAUGACGUCAAGUCAUCAUGCCCCUUAUGUCCAGGGCUUCACGCAUGCUACAAUGGCUGGUACAGAGAGUGGCGAGCCUGUGAGGGUGAGCGAAUCUCGGAAAGCCGGUCUCAGUUCGGAUUGGGGUCUGCAACUCGACCUCAUGAAGUCGGAGUCGCUAGUAAUCGCAGAUCAGCAACGCUGCGGUGAAUAAGGUCCCGGG
Molecule: ribosomal RNA, 1343 nt
Filed under: uncultured bacterium
Lineage: Bacteria
Description: 16S ribosomal RNA
Rfam family: Bacterial small subunit ribosomal RNA
Source: RNAcentral